Molecule: ribosomal RNA, 253 nt
Filed under: uncultured bacterium
Lineage: Bacteria
Description: partial 16S ribosomal RNA
Rfam family: Bacterial small subunit ribosomal RNA
Source: RNAcentral
UACGUAGGGUGCAAGCGUUGUCCGGAAUUAUUGGGCGUAAAGAGCUCGUAGGCGGUCUGUUGCGUCCGCUGUGAAAACCCGGGGCUUAACCCUGGGCUUGCAGUGGGUACGGGCAGACUAGAGUGUGGUAGGGGAGACUGGAAUUCCUGGUGUAGCGGUGGAAUGCGUAGAGAUCCGGAAGAACACCGGUGGCGAAGGCGGUCUGCUGGGCAGUAGCUGACACUGAUGCGCGACAGCGUGGGGAGCAAACAGG